AUGAUGAUGUUACUGACUCUACUGCUGACCAUCCUGGAGCUCCUGGUUCAGGGUUCCUCAGCAGAUAUCACCCUCGCUCAGACUCCAAGAGCUCAGGCUGUUGUUCCAGGACAGACAGUCUCCAUCAAAUGUAAAGCAAGUUCAGGUGUUAGCUACCAUGUACAGUGGUACCUUCAAAAACCCGGAGGUGCUCCCAAGCUCCUAAUUUAUGAUGCUAGCUCACGUUGGACUGGAGUUUCUGAUCGCUUUAGUGGUAGUUAUUCAGGAACCGAUUUCACUUUGACCAUCAGCAGAGUUCAAGCUGAAGAUGCAGGAGUUUAUUACUGUCAGCACGAUUAUAGCACACCGUUCACACAGUGA
Cyprinodon variegatus (sheepshead minnow) is the source of this 360-nucleotide non-coding RNA. The record is from the annotation of a RefSeq genome assembly. NCBI's taxonomy places the organism in Eukaryota, Metazoa, Chordata, Actinopteri, Cyprinodontiformes, Cyprinodontidae.